This 1279-nucleotide ribosomal RNA is filed under the name Ultragryllacris sp. 1 JL-2022a. RNAcentral describes it as "16S ribosomal RNA". The stretch from base 592 to 1279 matches the Rfam family "Archaeal large subunit ribosomal RNA", at positions 1423 to 2838 of the family's 2987-position model. The record is from RNAcentral. Lineage: Eukaryota; Metazoa; Arthropoda; Insecta; Orthoptera; Gryllacrididae.
AGUGGGCGUAGUUUGAAUUUUAAUAAAAAUAAUUUUAUUAGUUUAGGUUUAAGUAUAUUUUAUAGAAAAAAUUGUUUAAUUUAUAGUGAAGUAGUAUUGUGGAAGAAUGGUGAAAUAUUGGAAGGGGAUUUAUUGAAAAGUAGAUUUAUAUUGUACCUUGUGUAUCAGGGUUAAUUUAUUUAUGUGUAUCGAGGGUACUGAUCUCGAAUUGAAGAGAGUAAUAAUAUUAAUAUUGAAAGUGUGGAAUAAUUUUAUUUAAUAGUAUUAUGGUAAUGAAAUGUUAUCGUUCUUUAAGAUAUCUAGUUACUUAAGAAAUGAGUUGAAUUCAGAUAUUUAUGGGUUAGGUUAUUUUUAGUGAAUGGAUUAAUUGUUGUAAAUAUUAAUAAUUUAGGGGAUGAGCUCUAAAUUAGUGUUAAUAAUAGAAAAUUGUAUUUAAAAAUUAGGCUUUAAAGUAGCUGAAUAUUUAAUGUGUUAUAACUUAUUUAAUAAAAAUUUUAUUUGGUAUUAUUUUAGUGUCUUAUUAAGUUGAUUUUAGGAAUGGUUGUAAUAUGUGAAAAUGAUUAAAUUAGUAUAAGUAAAGUAUUGUUAAUGAAUUUGUUGAGUAAAUUUAUAAUAAGGAAUUAGGCAAAUUUUAUGCUCGCCUGUUUAACAAAAACAUGGCCUUUUGUUUGAAUUUAAGGUCUGGCCUGCCCACUGAAAUUUGAAGGGCCGCGGUAUUUUGACCGUGCAAAGGUAGCAUAAUCAUUAGUCUUUUAAUUGAAGGCUGGAAUGAAUGGUUGGACGAAGUAUAAGCUGUCUCUUUAUAAAAAGUAGAAUUUAACUUUUUAGUUAAAAGGCUAAGAUGAAUGUAGAGGACGAGAAGACCCUAUAAAGUUUUAUAUCUAAUAUAUGAAAAUGAAUUGUAGUAGAUUUAAAGUUUUGAUGUAAAGGUAUUUAGUUGGGGUGACUUUAAGAAUUGAUAAACUUUUAAUUAUAUGGGAAACUGGGAUGAUAGAAUAAAUGAUCCAUAAAUGGUGAUUAAAAGAUUAAAUUACUUUAGGGAUAACAGCGUAAUUUUCUUUGAGAGUUCUUAUCGACAAGAAAGAUUGCGACCUCGAUGUUGAAUUAAGGUAAUUAAUGGGUGUAGAAGUUCAUUAAAUAAGUCUGUUCGACUUUUAAAUCCUUACAUGAUUUGAGUUCAGACCGGUGUGAGCCAGGUCGGUUUCUAUCCUUAUAGGAAAAAAUAUUUUAGUACGAAAGGACCAAAUAUUUAAUAGAUUAUUUUUUUUUGAAUAAUAGU